CGUUUAUGUUAUUUCCAAAAUCAAUAUCUCAAUUAACAAAAUCAAACCAUCAUUUUUAAGAGAAAAAAAUUACCAAAACAAGAUUUUAUUAGGCGGCAUAUCCCAGAAUCCCUCAAGAUCGAAAACCCUGCAUUAUAUGCUAGUUGUUUAGUGGGGAACUUUGUGGAACAACUAUGGAGUUUUGCUUGGCCAGCUGCUAUUGCAAUGAUCCAUCCAAGCCUUCUUCCUGUUGCAGUCAUGAGCUUUUUUACUAAGUUAUUCUUGGAGGGCCAUUAGUUGGAAAACUUAUGGAUCAUUACCCCAGAGUACAUGCAUUUAAUUUUCUAAGCUUUAUCCAGUAUUUUAACAAAGCUCUUAAGCUAGCUCAAGGAGAUGGUCGGUUACCUCAGUUCACUCCUGCAGACGAACUGCCCUGUUACCUCAGUUUGUUCCUGCAGACGAACUGCCUUGUUGCUGCAGAAGCUCCAGUUGUUGCUGCUGC
This is a long non-coding RNA of Spinacia oleracea (spinach), 481 nucleotides long. RefSeq lists it as uncharacterized. Lineage: Eukaryota; Viridiplantae; Streptophyta; Magnoliopsida; Caryophyllales; Amaranthaceae. The transcript is spliced from 4 exons. The record is from RefSeq and is a predicted model, not a curated record.